Molecule: ribosomal RNA, 253 nt
Filed under: uncultured bacterium
Lineage: Bacteria
Description: partial 16S ribosomal RNA
Rfam family: Bacterial small subunit ribosomal RNA
Source: RNAcentral
UACAGAGGGCGCGAGCGUUGUCCGGAAUCACUGGGCGUAAAGGGCGCGUAGGUGGCGGCAUAAGGCCGCGGUGAAAGUCUGGGGCUCAACCCCAGAUCGGCCGCGGCGACUGUGUCGCUCGAGCACGGUAGAGGCAGAUGGAAUUCCUGGUGUAGCGGUGGAAUGCGCAGAUAUCAGGAGGAACACCGAUGGCGAAGGCAGUUCUCUGGGCCGUAACUGACGCUGAGGAGCGAAAGCGUGGGGAGCGAACAGG